GUUGGGCAUGGUGGUGCACGCCUGUAAUCCCAGCAGCUCGGGAGACUGAGGCAGGAGGAUCACGAGUUCAAAGCCAGCCUCAGCAAUGGUGAGGCACUGAGCAACUCAGUGAGACCCUGUCUCUA
This 125-nucleotide small RNA is filed under the name Marmota monax (woodchuck). The record is from RNAcentral. Lineage: Eukaryota; Metazoa; Chordata; Mammalia; Rodentia; Sciuridae.